This 271-nucleotide unclassified non-coding RNA is filed under the name Hevea brasiliensis (rubber tree). Lineage: Eukaryota; Viridiplantae; Streptophyta; Magnoliopsida; Malpighiales; Euphorbiaceae. The record is from RNAcentral.
CGUAGCUGGCACACCUUCCACCGAGUAACAACAACCACCGCCACGUUGGCCACCGCCGCCGCCGUUAUCACCACUCAACCCAAGCAACAAAAACCACAUUCCUUCACUCACAAAAACCUAUCCUCAUUUCCACUAUGUCCACAGCAUCUCCAUCUCCCUCUCCUCCACCUCCAUCAGAGCCACCAUCACAGUCACCACCCCCAAACUCCAGACCCCUCUCCACCAAGAAAUCGCAUCCGGUCCCCUGGACCCACCAAGAAACAGUCCACCU